Molecule: unclassified non-coding RNA, 418 nt
Filed under: Hevea brasiliensis (rubber tree)
Lineage: Eukaryota; Viridiplantae; Streptophyta; Magnoliopsida; Malpighiales; Euphorbiaceae
Source: RNAcentral
UAGAUGCCACAAAGAAUACAAACCCAAUAAAGUAGACGCCACAACCUAUGGGAAGGUUGAUAAUUCUUAAAGUUGCCACACUUAUGCAAAGUGAUAAGAGAAAUAACAACGCAAAAACUAUAAUGUUCUUCAAUAACAACUGAAAAUAUUAAGAUAGGAGGCCUUUAUAUAGGCAGUUACAAAGAAAUAAGACCAAACUAGGAAAAUAGAAACAUUGUCCAAACUAAACUAGUAAAAUAAAAACAUAGGUUAACUAGAAAAUAUAAAGCAACUUGGAAAAACCCUCUCUCCACCAAUCAACAUAUGUAGGAUGCCACAUAGGGUAGUUUGGUGUCUUGAACCCUUCUUCCACUUGCUGUGUGACAUCUUGGUUAGAUAUUUACACUAUUUCGGAAACCCUCCCCUUUUUUUGGACAGA